This 1374-nucleotide ribosomal RNA is filed under the name uncultured bacterium. Its description in RNAcentral is "bacterial SSU rRNA". It matches the Rfam family "Bacterial small subunit ribosomal RNA", at positions 28 to 1381 of the family's 1533-position model. The record is from RNAcentral.
GAUGAACGCUGGCGGCGUGCCUAAUACAUGCAAGUCGAGCGAACAGACGAGGAGCUUGCUCCUUUGACGUUAGCGGCGGACGAGUGAGUAACACGUGGAUAACCUACCUAUAAGACUGGGAUAACUUCGGGAAACCGGAGCUAAUACCGGAUAACAUGUUGAACCGCAUGGUUCAACAGUGAAAGACGGUCUUGCUGUCACUUAUAGAUGGAUCCGCGCCGCAUUAGCUAGUCGGUAAGGUAACGGCUUACCAAGGCAACGAUGCGUAGCCGACCUGAGAGGGUGAUCGGCCACACUGGAACUGAGACACGGUCCAGACUCCUACGGGAGGCAGCAGUAGGGAAUCUUCCGCAAUGGGCGAAAGCCUGACGGAGCAACGCCGCGUGAGUGAAGAAGGUCUUCGGAUCGUAAAACUCUGUUAUUAGGGAAGAACAAAUGUGUAAGUAACUAUUGCACGUCUUGACGGUACCUAAUCAGAAAGCCACGGCUAACUACGUGCCAGCAGCCGCGGUAAUACGUAGGUGGCAAGCGUUAUCCGGAAUUAUUGGGCGUAAAGCGCGCGUAGGCGGUUUUUUAAGUCUGAUGUGAAAGCCCACGGGCUCAACCGUGGAGGGUCAUUGGAAACUGGAAAACUUGAGUGCAGAAGAGGAAAGUGGAAUUCCAUGUGUAGCGGUGAAAUGCGCAGAGAUAUGGAGGAACACCAGUGGCGAAGGCGACUUUCUGGUCUGUAACUGACGCUGAUGUGCGAAAGCGUGGGGAUCAAACAGGAUUAGAUACCCUGGUAGUCCACGCCGUAAACGAUGAGUGCUAAGUGUUAGGGGGUUUCCGCCCCUUAGUGCUGCAGCUAACGCAUUAAGCACUCCGCCUGGGGAGUACGACCGCAAGGUUGAAACUCAAAGGAAUUGACGGGGACCCGCACAAGCGGUGGAGCAUGUGGUUUAAUUCGAAGCAACGCGAAGAACCUUACCAAAUCUUGACAUCCUCUGACCCCUCUAGAGAUAGAGUUUUCCCCUUCGGGGGACAGAGUGACAGGUGGUGCAUGGUUGUCGUCAGCUCGUGUCGUGAGAUGUUGGGUUAAGUCCCGCAACGAGCGCAACCCUUAAGCUUAGUUGCCAUCAUUAAGUUGGGCACUCUAAGUUGACUGCCGGUGACAAACCGGAGGAAGGUGGGGAUGACGUCAAAUCAUCAUGCCCCUUAUGAUUUGGGCUACACACGUGCUACAAUGGACAAUACAAAGGGUAGCGAAACCGCGAGGUCAAGCAAAUCCCAUAAAGUUGUUCUCAGUUCGGAUUGUAGUCUGCAACUCGACUACAUGAAGCUGGAAUCGCUAGUAAUCGUAGAUCAGCAUGCUACGGUGAAUACGUUCCCGGGUUU